This 355-nucleotide ribosomal RNA is filed under the name Lipeurus caponis. RNAcentral's name for it is "SSU rRNA". It matches the Rfam family "Eukaryotic small subunit ribosomal RNA", at positions 110 to 442 of the family's 1831-position model. The record is from RNAcentral. Lineage: Eukaryota; Metazoa; Arthropoda; Insecta; Psocodea; Philopteridae.
CUAUGGUUCCUUAGAUGGUACGUACAGUUACUUGGAUAACUGUGGCAAUUCUAGAGCUAAUACAUGCAAACCGAGUUCCGACCGCUUCGCAGGCGGAAGGAAUGCUUUUAUUAGAUCAAAACCAAUCGGACUCCUCCGCGGGUCCGUCACGCCUUGGUGACUCUGAAUAACUUUGAGCUGAUCGCACGGUCCCGCACCGGCGACGCAUCUUUCAAAUGUCUGACUUAUCAACUUUCGAUGGUAGGCUCUGCGCCUACCAUGGUCGUAACGGGUAACGGGGAAUCAGGGUUCGAUUCCGGAGAGGGAGCCUGAGAAACGGCUACCACAUCCAAGGAAGGCAGCAGGCGCGCAAAUU